Oryza glaberrima (African rice) is the source of this 205-nucleotide non-coding RNA. NCBI's taxonomy places the organism in Eukaryota, Viridiplantae, Streptophyta, Magnoliopsida, Poales, Poaceae. The record is from Rfam.
AAUAAGGGUAGUUUUACACUUUUUAUAUUCAACGUUUAAUUAUUCGUCUUAUUUAAAAAAAAUUAUAAUUAAUAUUUUUAUUGUUGUUAGAUAAUAAAACAUGAAUAAUAUUUUAUUUGUGAUUAAUUUUUUAAAUUUUUUCAUAAAUUUUUUAAAUAAGAUGGACGGUUAAAUGUUGGAUACGAAUACCACGACUGUAUUUACU